This 508-nucleotide ribosomal RNA is filed under the name uncultured bacterium. RNAcentral describes it as "partial 16S ribosomal RNA". It matches the Rfam family "Bacterial small subunit ribosomal RNA", at positions 30 to 523 of the family's 1533-position model. The record is from RNAcentral.
AUUGAACGCUGGCAGCAUGCCUUACACAUGCAAGUCGAACGGCAGCGGGGGAGAAGCUUGCCUUUCCUGCCGGCGAGUGGCGAACGGGUGAGUAAUACAUCGGAACGUGCCCUGUAGUGGGGGAUAACUAGUCGAAAGAUUAGCUAAUACCGCAUACGACCUGAGGGUGAAAGUGGGGGACCGCAAGGCCUCAUGCUAUAGGAGCGGCCGAUGUCUGAUUAGCUAGUUGGUGGGGUAAAGGCCUACCAAGGCGACGAUCAGUAGCUGGUCUGAGAGGACGAUCAGCCACACUGGGACUGAGACACGGCCCAGACUCCUACGGGAGGCAGCAGUGGGGAAUUUUGGACAAUGGGCGAAAGCCUGAUCCAGCAAUGCCGCGUGUGUGAAGAAGGCCUUCGGGUUGUAAAGCACUUUUGUCCGGAAAGAAAUGGCUCUGGUUAAUACCUGGGGUCGAUGACGGUACCGGAAGAAUAAGGACCGGCUAACUACGUGCCAGCCACCGCCGUAA